This 465-nucleotide ribosomal RNA is filed under the name Vreelandella stevensii. RNAcentral describes it as "partial 16S ribosomal RNA". It matches the Rfam family "Bacterial small subunit ribosomal RNA", at positions 338 to 795 of the family's 1533-position model. Lineage: Bacteria; Pseudomonadati; Pseudomonadota; Gammaproteobacteria; Oceanospirillales; Halomonadaceae. The record is from RNAcentral.
CCUACGGGAGGCAGCAGUGGGGAAUAUUGGACAAUGGGCGAAAGCCUGAUCCAGCCAUGCCGCGUGUGUGAAGAAGGCCUUCGGGUUGUAAAGCACUUUCAGUGGGGAAGAAAGCCUUGGGGCUAAUACCCUCGAGGAAGGACAUCACCCACAGAAGAAGCACCGGCUAACUCCGUGCCAGCAGCCGCGGUAAUACGGAGGGCGCGAGCGUUAAUCGGAAUUACUGGGCGUAAAGCGCGCGUAGGCGGUCUGAUAAGCCGGUUGUGAAAGCCCCGGGCUCAACCUGGGAACGGCAUCCGGAACUGUCAGGCUAGAGUGCAGGAGAGGAAGGUAGAAUUCCCGGUGUAGCGGUGAAAUGCGUAGAGAUCGGGAGGAAUACCAGUGGCGAAGGCGGCCUUCUGGACUGACACUGACGCUGAGGUGCGAAAGCGUGGGUAGCAAACAGGAUUAGAUACCCUGGUAGUC